Non-coding RNA from Malus domestica (apple), 610 nucleotides. NCBI's taxonomy places the organism in Eukaryota, Viridiplantae, Streptophyta, Magnoliopsida, Rosales, Rosaceae. The record is from RefSeq and is a predicted model, not a curated record.
CCCUAAUCCAGAAUUCCCAGGGAUGCAAAAUAUUCCACAUCUGUUUGGUCAUUUUGCUAAAUUUCAUUAGAUUUGGCCCUCAAAUUUGAAAAAGCUUUCAUCUUGCUGUAAAUUUAAGUCUUUUCUCUUUGUGUUGGUCCAUCUCCUUAUAAUUGAAAGUCUCAGAAUUGAUAAUGGAUUUAUUGUGUUUGGGAAUUUCAGGAUUUUGGAUUUUGGUUGGUUUAGGUUGCUGCAGAUGGGGGCUUUGGAUGUAAGGCGGUGGUUGGCAGACACCGAAAGGUUGAUUACCCUCCUUAUGGAAGGGACUUUGUGAACCAUCAGCCUACUGGAAGGUUUUGCAAUGGCAAACUGGCCACUGACAUCAGUGGGGACGAAUUCUAGGACGGAGGUGAAAGGAUUUGGAAGAAUCAGAUGUGCCUAUUCAUUUGCAAGAUUGUUGGUGGGGAUGAUGUGGUUAACUGGAUUCUUUGAGUUAUUUGUGAUUUGAAAUUACCAGAGUCGCCCUCCAUUGUGCCGAUAUCACAUGGGACUGAAAAUAAUAUCCCACUUUCGUUUGGAUGGGUAGGACAUCUUUUAGUUUAUGAAAGCCUCUUUGAAGGGAUCAAUUAUU